This 112-nucleotide non-coding RNA is filed under the name human gut metagenome. RNAcentral describes it as "FMN riboswitch (RFN element)". It matches the Rfam family "FMN riboswitch aptamer (RFN element)". Rfam says of the family: The RFN element is a highly conserved domain that is found frequently in the 5'-untranslated regions of prokaryotic mRNAs that encode for flavin mononucleotide (FMN) biosynthesis and transport proteins. This element is a metabolite-dependent riboswitch that directly binds FMN in the absence of proteins. The record is from RNAcentral.
UGUCUUCGAGGUUGGGUGAAAUUCCCUACCGGCGGUAAAAGUCCGCAAGCUCUACGGAGCACGAAUUGGUGCAAUUCCAAUACCGACAGUAAAGUCUGGAUGAGAGAAGGUU